RNAcentral lists this long non-coding RNA (565 nucleotides) under Setaria viridis. Its description in RNAcentral is "long non-coding RNA (SVIR_LNC008979)". Lineage: Eukaryota; Viridiplantae; Streptophyta; Magnoliopsida; Poales; Poaceae. The record is from RNAcentral.
ACACACGUACAUAUCCAUGAAGUGCUGGGCUGGCAAAUAUAUAUUAAGGUUGACAAAGUCAGGAAGGGUAUCUCGCCAUUGAAGUACACGUUCCCUAGCAUGCAAUAAUAUAAAUAUCUAUAUUAAGGGGUUGUUCUCUUGUGGACAAAGGUACAACCACCGUAAAACCAUGUCCGCUAACUAUCCGAGCAUUCUCAUACCAAACUAGUUCUACCAUUCUUCCAUGAUAAUGCUACGAUACACAGUCCAUCACUUAGCUAAAAGGAACAUAAAUUACCGGUGCCGGCCGAUCAUUGGACUAUACUAAAAAAGAAUAUGCACUAUAUAUGUCUUCUCUCAUAAAGGUGUUAGAUGUGUCUAGAUGAUGUACCCACCAUGGUCUGCGUUGUCAACUGUGGGCCUAGUAACAUCAACCAAUCUGCAGAUGCAUAUCUACCGACGGAUAAGUACGCGACAACUCAUAGCAUCACAAAAUAUGAUUUCCCACCCUAGAGAACCCCAUUCCCAUAUCCCCAAAGUCAGCAACAUGAUAACAGGAUAUCUCCAAGAAACAGCGGUGCCGCCG